ACUAAAUAGAUACCCCGGUAGUCCACGCCCUAAACGAUGUCUACUAGUUGUUGGUGGAGUAAAAUCCAUGAGUAAACGCAGCUAAACGCGUGAAGUAGACCGCCUGGGGAGUACGGUCGCAAGAUUAAAACUCAAAGGAAUUGACGGGGGCCCGCACAAGCGGUGGAUUAUGUGGAUUAAUUCGAUGCAACGCGAAAAACCUUACCUGGCCUUGACAUGCCACUAACGAAGCAGAGAUGCAUUAGGUGCCCGUAAGGGAAAGUGGACACAGGUGCUGCAUGGCUGUCGUCAGCCCGUGUCGUGAGAUGUUGGGUUAAGUCCCGCAACGAGCGCAACCCUUGCCAUUAAUUG
This 351-nucleotide ribosomal RNA is filed under the name uncultured bacterium. RNAcentral's name for it is "bacterial SSU rRNA". It matches the Rfam family "Bacterial small subunit ribosomal RNA", at positions 772 to 1117 of the family's 1533-position model. The record is from RNAcentral.